AGAGUUUGAUCAUGGCUCAGAACGAACGCUGGCGGCGUGGAUUAGGCAUGCAAGUCGAACGAGAAGCUGUUGAUUGAUUCUUCGGAUGAUUUCAACAGUGGAUAGUGGCGAAAGGGUGAGUAAUACGUGGGUAAUCUGCCUCCGAGUUGGGGAUACCCCCGAGAAAUUGGGGUUAAUACCGAAUAUGGUGAGCUUUCGCAUGAAAGUGAAUCCAAAGGCGGGCGUAAGCCUGUCGCUCAGAGAUGAGCCCACGUCCUAUCAGCUUGUUGGUAAGGUAACGGCUUACCAAGGCUUACGGGUAGCUGGUCUGAGAGGAUGGUCAGCCACACUGGGACUGAGACACUGCCCAGACUCCUACGGGAGGCUGCAGUCGAGAAUCUUGGACAAUGCGCGAAAGCGUGAUCCAGCGACGCCGCGUGGAGGAUGAAGGCUUUCGGGUCGUAAACUCCUGUUGUAAGGGAGCAAACGUUAGUGGGUUAAUACCCCAUUAACUUGAUAGUACCUUACGAGGAAGCCACGGCUAACUCUGUGCCAGCAGCCGCGGUAAUACAGAGGUGGCAAGCGUUGUUCGGAUUUACUGGGCGUAAAGGGUGCGUAGGCGGUAGUGUGUGUCGGAUGUGAAAUCUUACUGUUCAUCGGUAAAACUGCAUUCGAAACUACACAACUAGAGUAUAGGAGAGGAGAGCGGAAUUCUUGGUGUAGCGGUGAAAUGCGUUGAUAUCAAGAGGAACACCGGUGGCGAAGGCGGCUCUCUGGACUAUUACUGACGCUGAGGCACGAAAGCUAGGGGAGCAAACAGGAUUAGAUACCCUGGUAGUCCUAGC
RNAcentral lists this ribosomal RNA (824 nucleotides) under uncultured bacterium. RNAcentral describes it as "bacterial SSU rRNA". It matches the Rfam family "Bacterial small subunit ribosomal RNA", at positions 8 to 800 of the family's 1533-position model. The record is from RNAcentral.